AGAAUAUAAGCGUUGUGGAGUCAGGAAAACUUCCAACCAGAUUUCAGAAGGCCUGGGAGGCCAGGCAGUGUGUGAAGCUGUGAGUGUGAAGCCAAAGGUGCAGUGGAGACUCCAGUAUGUAGGAGAAGCCAAGAACAUGAAAUAUCUGAGGAAAGCUGCAGGGAGUGAGCAUAACCAGCCAAGGAGAGCAACCAUGAUGGCUGCAGUGCUAUAGGGGAAGGGCCCCUCAAACUAUUUGGAGUUCACAUUUCACUGCCACAACUUGCCCUGUGUGGUGUACAUGGAACCUUGUGCAGGGCUUUGGUCUUGAUUUUGUCCCUUUGGUUUCUACUCCACUUUUGGAGUAGGAAUAUUUACCCUGGGUCUUUGUGUGUCCUCAAUGUCUAACUACAUUUUGAUAUUUACAGGGGUUCACAAGUAAAAGUUUGCCUUAAGUCUCAGAGGAGACUUUGGACUUGGACUUUUCAGCAGUCCUGGAGCAGCAAGUCAGAAAGUAUAAGUCAGAGUGAAUCUUGGUCAGUGUGUUCUUGCUGCUGUGGCACCAUCUGCACGAGUCCUCACCAGAGCCAAGAAGCCAGCAUUCUCACAGCACUUUCAUUACAAGCAGACGGGGAUGUGUGUACCUGCGAGGGUGAACUGGCCUCGCCCCAGGCACAGGGCAGCCCAGGGACGGGUUGGCCAGGCUGCUGGUCAGAGGGUAACAAAGAAAUCUCCUACAUAACUGCAAUGCCAUCAUCACACCUGGAGAAUUUAACAACGCUGUGGCCAAGAGCCUGGGGUAGGAUUUUUGUAGGUGAGAUCUCUAGAGAAAGGAAGGCACUGUACGGUAGAUAUUAGUUUAAAGGCAGAAGCUGAGUGUGAUGGUGCUCCCAUGUAAUCCCAGCACUAGAGAGGCUGAGGUAGGAGGAUCAAUUUGAGUUCGAGGCCAGCCUGAACUAUGUAGUAAACUCAAGGCCAACCUGAACUACAUAGUGAGACCCUGUCUUGGAAAAAAAAUUAAAGGCAUGCAAUAGUAAGAAAGAGUAGCUGUGUCUGUAUUGUUUAUUUUUGUUCUUUGCUGGCCCAGCCAGCGAAUGUGUGGUUUGUUAUACCUAAGUUAUGGCUAUAUAAACAUAUCUCAGUUUGUGCCUGGGCUACACAGUGGGUCUAUGUCUUUAAUGUCUCUAGGGAACCUGAUACCCAAGCUUUAAA
Molecule: long non-coding RNA, 1191 nt
Filed under: Chinchilla lanigera (long-tailed chinchilla)
Lineage: Eukaryota; Metazoa; Chordata; Mammalia; Rodentia; Chinchillidae
Description: lncRNA (ENSCLAG00000026777.1)
Source: RNAcentral